UGAGGAAUAUUGGUCAAUGGGCGAGAGCCUGAACCAGCCAAGUAGCGUGCAGGAUGACGGCCCUAUGGGUUGUAAACUGCUUUUAUGUGGGGAUAAAGUGCGUGACGUUUCAUGCAUUGCAGGUACCACAUGAAUAAGGACCGGCUAAUUCCGUGCCAGCAGCCGCGGUAAUACGUAAGGUCCGUGCGUUAUCCGGAUUUAUUGGGUUUAAAGGGAGCGUAGGCUGUCUAUUAAGCGUGUUGUGAAAUUUACCGGCUCAACCGGUGGCUUGCAGCGCGAACUGGUCGACUUGAGUAUGCAGGAAGUAGGCGGAAUUCAUGGUGUAGCGGUGAAAUGCUUAGAUAUCAUGACGAACUCCGAUUGCGCAGGCAGCUUACUGUAGCAUAACUGACGCUGAUGCUCGAAAGUGCGGGUAUCAAACAGG
RNAcentral lists this ribosomal RNA (424 nucleotides) under Fusobacteriota bacterium. RNAcentral's name for it is "Fusobacteria bacterium partial 16S ribosomal RNA". It matches the Rfam family "Bacterial small subunit ribosomal RNA", at positions 355 to 776 of the family's 1533-position model. The record is from RNAcentral. Lineage: Bacteria; Fusobacteriati; Fusobacteriota.